AGGGAAUCUUCGGCAAUGGACGAAAGUCUGACCGAGCAACGCCGCGUGAGUGAAGAAGGUUUUCGGAUCGUAAAACUCUGUUGGUAGAGAAGAACGUUGGUGAGAGUGGAAAGCUCAUCAAGUGACGGUAACUACCCAGAAAGGGACGGCUAACUACGUGCCAGCAGCCGCGGUAAUACGUAGGUCCCGAGCGUUGUCCGGAUUUAUUGGGCGUAAAGCGAGCGCAGGUGGUUUAUUAAGUCUGGUGUAAAAGGCAGUGGCUCAACCAUUGUAUGCAUUGGAAACUGGUAGACUUGAGUGCAGGAGAGGAGAGUGGAAUUCCAUGUGUAGCGGUGAAAUGCGUAGAUAUAUGGAGGAACACCGGUGGCGAAAGCGGCUCUCUGGCCUGUAACUGACACUGAGGCUCGAAAGCGUGGGGAGCAAACAGGAUUAGAUACCC
This 439-nucleotide ribosomal RNA is filed under the name uncultured bacterium. RNAcentral's name for it is "partial 16S ribosomal RNA". It matches the Rfam family "Bacterial small subunit ribosomal RNA", at positions 356 to 787 of the family's 1533-position model. The record is from RNAcentral.